This is a long non-coding RNA of Ornithodoros turicata, 657 nucleotides long. RefSeq lists it as uncharacterized. The record is from RefSeq and is a predicted model, not a curated record. Lineage: Eukaryota; Metazoa; Arthropoda; Arachnida; Ixodida; Argasidae. The transcript has 2 exons.
CCGAGCAUGCUACACGCGUGAUGGAGGUGUUGCUUGAAAGCUAAACAACUACUCUACUGGUAUUUUAUACCAGUAGAGUACCAUAAAGUAAUGUCACUGCUGCGGAGCUGUGGAUACGAGUACGUCAAGACAAGAACGCGCACCAGACGUUAAGCUGCUCUUGUCACAUUCACCACGUUCUAGCCGUCGUGUACUUUAGCACAAUGCAGUGUCAUGUGCCAACAUAUGUUGAUGCGCAACACGGAUCUUUUGCGCCAACAAAACUCAAAGCAGCAGCACCAGUAUAACGCAUACCACGGAGUCGAAAGUACCGACGCUAAUGGUCACAGAAACUGGACUCCGUGGAGAACACAGCCUGAGCUUGGACAAAACUGUAAGCUCUCAUCACCGUCAGUGUCCAGAGUGGUGAAAGCUUGAGCGAACUGGCGUAGCCAGAGGGGGAGUUCUGGGUGUUCAACCCUCCCCGAAAUGGUACCUCCGCGAGUGCAUUUGGGAGGGGGAAACGAGGGGAAAUCCUCAUCUCCCAUCUAAAGUCCCCAUAGAACUCCUCCCGAAAUAUUUUUUCUGGCUACGCCGCUGCUUGCGUGUCUACCAUGAGUACCUUUUAUUGUGAUUGAUCGAUUGAGAUAUUAAAAAUAUGGAGCACUUUUUAUUGUA